Long non-coding RNA from Meriones unguiculatus (Mongolian gerbil), 1094 nucleotides. RefSeq lists it as uncharacterized. The record is from RefSeq and is a predicted model, not a curated record. Lineage: Eukaryota; Metazoa; Chordata; Mammalia; Rodentia; Muridae. The transcript has 3 exons.
UGAGUGCAAGGGGUAGAAUGCUCAGGCAUCAGGCUCUGUCCUGGCAAGUGAGCUGGGUAUCUACUGUCCCAAUCCAGAAUGAUGCUAAGGUCUGGAGUAAGAGAGAACUCAUGACAUGACAGGGGUCGGAUAAGAUGAGGGUGGGGGCUUGGAUGGAUAUUAAGGAGGAACUAUGGGACUUGCCUGCAGUGGGAAGUAGAACAGGUGGCAAGGCUCCCUCUCAUAUUUGGUGUGUGUCUCCCCAGCACCACUAAGUGGCACUGUAACAGAAAGAGGACACAGUCCCUGCCCUCAGGAAGUUGUGUCCAGAAUAGUCCCCUGUACUACUGCUGCAGUGUGCCAAAGCACAUGGAAUGACAAGUCAAAUUAAGAUGAGUAAGAGCAGUGAGAAGAUCGUGUGGGCAGGGGUUGGAGAAGGUUUGGGACACCUGAGCCAAGACCUCAGAGGAAUUUCUCUCACUGUGUGCAUAGCUGCUUCCUCCUCGUUAAGUCUCAGUUAAAAACCUUCCCCUGAGCUGGACAUGGUGGCACACUUUAAUCCCAGUGCUCGAGAAGCAGAGGCAGGCGGAGCUCCGCAAGUUCGAGGCCGCCCUCGUCUACAAGAGCCCUCAACCCCUGCUGGCCACCUCUGCUGUCCAUUCCUGGAUGCCCAGCCACAGUUCAAUCUUAAAGGUUAAAGGUUCCGGAAGAGUACCCAACUCACGACAGGCGAGAACGGCUCAACGGCUUGAGAUUCUGGAGUUGAGAACGGGAACUCAGAACAAAGACCCCCCCACCUGGCUUCUGGAAUCACAUUUGGGCUCCAAAUCCCAUUUCUGUUGCCAAAAGACCGGGGAACAAAGCUCUUGAUGCCUGCAUGUCUGCGAUCUCAAUGAUGCUUGUAACGGCAGCUUUCAGAAUGCUCGUGGGGAUUAGGGGAAAUGACUCUUGAAGUUGUAUGGACCUCAGCAUCACAGAGAGUUGGUUCCAGGACCCCAAGUUUACCCAGCUCCACAGAUACUCAUCUCUCCCCCAAAAUGGCCAAAUCUGCAUAAUACCUGCAUGCUUCCGUACACAUUAAACAACAUCAGACUUCAUAUAAUGUGCACACUAUA